CCGUAAGCUCAGUCGCGUGCGCGAAUAACUACCUUUCUCUCGUGAAAAAUAGUAUAGUAGAUUUGCCAUAUAACUUAUAAAUAUAUUUUUAUCCGAUUUACACCUGUUGUAGCAACUCUCUCUCUCUCUCAUCAGAAACAAAAAAAUUAAGAUAAGCAAAUAAAUUUAAACGAUAACAACAUAAUUAAAACUUGGGUAGUAUACAGUUUUCAGAAAAAAUUAUAAGAAAUCGUAGCUAUAUCCAUUUGCACGAACACCAACGUUAAGAAAAAAAAGUUGAAUUAAAAAAUAUGUAGUUACCCCAACAAACAUAACUUGUUUAUAUAUACAAACUGAAACAUACCAUGAGCUCAAAAAUGAAAUUUUCAAUCGAGCAACGAGAACUUUUGAUUUCUAAAAUCCAAUCAAGACCUCCCUAGUGGAAUGAUUGACAUCCUAACCACAAAUAAAACAAACAAAAUGUGGGAUGAAGUGGAAAAGUAGUUU
Molecule: non-coding RNA, 486 nt
Organism: Cinara cedri
Lineage: Eukaryota; Metazoa; Arthropoda; Insecta; Hemiptera; Aphididae
Source: the annotation of a GenBank genome assembly